RNAcentral lists this transfer RNA (72 nucleotides) under Minisyncoccota bacterium. RNAcentral's name for it is "tRNA-Arg". It matches the Rfam family "tRNA". Rfam says of the family: Transfer RNA (tRNA) molecules are approximately 80 nucleotides in length. Their secondary structure includes four short double-helical elements and three loops (D, anti-codon, and T loops). The record is from RNAcentral. Lineage: Bacteria; Bacillati; Minisyncoccota.
GAUCUCGUCGUUCAACGGAUAGGACACUCCCCUGCGAAGGGAGAAAUGCAGGUUCGAUUCCCGCCGAGAUCA